GUCUCUUUCGUCUAAAGGUUAGGACAUUGCCCUUUCAAGGCAAUAAUAGGGGUUCGAAUCCCCUAAGAGACA
Molecule: transfer RNA, 72 nt
Filed under: endosymbiont of Pachyrhynchus infernalis
Lineage: Bacteria; Pseudomonadati; Pseudomonadota; Gammaproteobacteria
Rfam family: tRNA
About the family: Transfer RNA (tRNA) molecules are approximately 80 nucleotides in length. Their secondary structure includes four short double-helical elements and three loops (D, anti-codon, and T loops).
Source: Rfam by way of RNAcentral